RNAcentral lists this non-coding RNA (26 nucleotides) under Bombyx mori (domestic silkworm). Lineage: Eukaryota; Metazoa; Arthropoda; Insecta; Lepidoptera; Bombycidae. The record is from RNAcentral. RNAcentral also lists the same sequence under 7 other names.
GCGCGGGUAAACGGCGGGAGUAACUA